CCCGGCGAUUGGGCGCCAGGGGCGUCUGGGUCUCGCGCGGGCGUGGGAGCCGAGGGCCCGGCCGCGGCGCCCGAGAGGCGGAGAUGGGCCAGUGACCCUCGACCCGUCCGUCCGUCGGGCUAGCGAGACCAGCCCGCCGCGGAGGAGACAGAGCAGGGAGCUACAGGAGGCCGUUCCGGAAAACGCCACGGGCAAGCAGACUUGGACUGGAGCACCAGCUCUUCCUGGGUCUUGAGUCUGCCGGCCUUGGCCUUCGCCCUUGAACUACACUAGCAGCUCUCCUGGUUCUCAGGUCUUCAGACUCCAAUGGAACUAAAUCAUCAGCCCUCCUGGG
This 334-nucleotide long non-coding RNA is filed under the name Equus asinus (donkey). RNAcentral's name for it is "lncRNA (ENSEASG00005027820.1)". Lineage: Eukaryota; Metazoa; Chordata; Mammalia; Perissodactyla; Equidae. The record is from RNAcentral.